GGAGCGGCCGAUGUCUGAUUAGCUUGUUGGUGAGGUAAAAGCUUACCAAGGCUUCGAUCAGUAGCUGGUCUGAGAGGACGACCAGCCACACUGGGACUGAGACACGGCCCAGACUCCUACGGGAGGCAGCAGUGGGGAAUUUUGGACAAUGGGGGCAACCCUGAUCCAGCCAUGCCGCGUGAGUGAAGAAGGCCUUCGGGUUGUAAAGCUCUUUCAGCCGGAACGAAACGGUUACAGUUAAUACCUGUGACUACUGACGGUACCGGAAGAAGAAGCACCGGCUAACUACGUGCCAGCAGCCGCGGUAAUACGUAGGGUGCGAGCGUUAAUCGGAAUUACUGGGCGUAAAGCGUGCGCAGGCAGUUUUGUAAGUCAGAUGUGAAAUCCCCGGGCUUAACCUGGGAACU
Molecule: ribosomal RNA, 407 nt
Filed under: uncultured beta proteobacterium
Lineage: Bacteria; Pseudomonadati; Pseudomonadota; Betaproteobacteria
Description: bacterial SSU rRNA
Rfam family: Bacterial small subunit ribosomal RNA
Source: RNAcentral